CAGUCGCCACGGUAAUACGUAGGGUGCGAGCGUUAAUCGGAAUUACUGGGCGUAAAGCGUGCGCAGGCGGUUAUAUAAGACAGAUGUGAAAUCCCCGGGCUCAACCUGGGACCUGCAUUUGUGACUGUAUAGCUAGAGUACGGUAGAGGGGGAUGGAAUUCCGCGUGUAGCAGUGAAAUGCGUAGAUAUGCGGAGGAACACCGAUGGCGAAGGCAAUCCCCUGGACCUGUACCGACGCUCAUGCACGAAAGCGUGGGGAGCAAACAGGAUUAGAUACCCCAGUAGUCCCUGUCUCUUAUAA
RNAcentral lists this ribosomal RNA (301 nucleotides) under uncultured bacterium. Its description in RNAcentral is "partial 16S ribosomal RNA". It matches the Rfam family "Bacterial small subunit ribosomal RNA", at positions 509 to 809 of the family's 1533-position model. The record is from RNAcentral.